RNAcentral lists this ribosomal RNA (498 nucleotides) under uncultured bacterium. RNAcentral describes it as "partial 16S ribosomal RNA". It matches the Rfam family "Bacterial small subunit ribosomal RNA", at positions 29 to 523 of the family's 1533-position model. The record is from RNAcentral.
AUUGAACGCUGGCGGCAUGCCUUACACAUGCAAGUCGAACGGUAACGCGGGGCAACCUGGCGACGAGUGGCGAACGGGUGAGUAACGCAUCGGAACGUGCCCAGUAGCGGGGGAUAGCCCGGCGAAAGCCGGAUUAAUACCGCAUACGACCUACGGGUGAAAGGGGGGGAUCGCAAGACCUCUCGCUAUUGGAGCGGCCGAUGUCCGAUUAGGUAGUUGGUGGGGUAAAGGCCUACCAAGCCUGCGAUUUGUAGCUGGUAUGAGAGGACGACCAGCCACACUGCGACUGCGACACGGACCAGACUCCUACGGGAGGCAGCAGUGGGGAAUUUUGGACAAUGGGCGCAAGGCUGAUGCAGCCAUGCCGCGUGCGGGAAGAAGGCCUUCGGGUUGUAAACCGCUUUUGUCAGGGAAGAAAAGCCUUGGGUUAAUACCCUGGGGUGAUGACGGUACCUGAAGAAUAAGCACCGGCUAACUACGUGCCAGCCGCCGCGGUAA